This 505-nucleotide ribosomal RNA is filed under the name Bifidobacterium breve. RNAcentral describes it as "bacterial SSU rRNA". It matches the Rfam family "Bacterial small subunit ribosomal RNA", at positions 9 to 523 of the family's 1533-position model. Lineage: Bacteria; Bacillati; Actinomycetota; Actinomycetes; Bifidobacteriales; Bifidobacteriaceae. The record is from RNAcentral.
GAGUUUGAUCAUGGCUCAGGAUGAACGCUGGCGGCGUGCUUAACACAUGCAAGUCGAACGGGAUCCAUCGGGCUUUGCCUGGUGGUGAGAGUGGCGAACGGGUGAGUAAUGCGUGACCGACCUGCCCCAUGCACCGGAAUAGCUCCUGGAAACGGGUGGUAAUGCCGGAUGCUCCAUCACACCGCAUGGUGUGUUGGGAAAGCCUUUGCGGCAUGGGAUGGGGUCGCGUCCUAUCAGCUUGAUGGCGGGGUAACGGCCCACCAUGGCUUCGACGGGUAGCCGGCCUGAGAGGGCGACCGGCCACAUUGGGACUGAGAUACGGCCCAGACUCCUACGGGAGGCAGCAGUGGGGAAUAUUGCACAAUGGGCGCAAGCCUGAUGCAGCGACGCCGCGUGAGGGAUGGAGGCCUUCGGGUUGUAAACCUCUUUUAUCAGGGAGCAAGGCUUCGGUUGAGUGUACCUGUUGAAUAAGCACCGGCUAACUACGUGCCAGCAGCCGCGGUAA